This 254-nucleotide ribosomal RNA is filed under the name uncultured bacterium. Its description in RNAcentral is "partial 16S ribosomal RNA". It matches the Rfam family "Bacterial small subunit ribosomal RNA", at positions 524 to 777 of the family's 1533-position model. The record is from RNAcentral.
UACAGAGGGGGCAAGCGUUGUUCGGAAUUACUGGGCGUAAAGGGCGCGUAGGCGGCCUGCUAAGUCGAACGUGAAAUCCCUGGGCUUAACCCAGGAACUGCGUCCGAUACUGGCAGGCUUGAAUCCGGGAGAGGGAUGCGGAAUUCCAGGUGUAGCGGUGAAAUGCGUAGAUAUCUGGAGGAACACCGGUGGCGAAGGCGGCAUCCUGGACCGGCAUUGACGCUGAGGUGCGAAAGCGUGGGGAGCAAACAGGG